RNAcentral lists this ribosomal RNA (301 nucleotides) under uncultured bacterium. RNAcentral's name for it is "partial 16S ribosomal RNA". It matches the Rfam family "Bacterial small subunit ribosomal RNA", at positions 509 to 807 of the family's 1533-position model. The record is from RNAcentral.
CAGUCGCCGCGGUAAUACGAGGGGUGCAAGCGUUAUUCGGAUUGAUUGGGUGUAAAGGGCGUGCAGACGGCUUAUUAAGUCACUUGUUAAAUUCUUCGGCCUAACUGAAGGUCUGCAAGUGAUACUGAUGAGCUAGAGGGUGGAAGAGAGAAGUGGAAUUCUCGGAGUAGCGGUAAAAUGCGUAGAUCUCGAGAGGAACACCAAUGGCGAAGGCAGCUUCUUGGUCCAUUCCUGACGUUCAUACACGAAAGCGUGGGGAGCAAACAGGAUUAGAUACCCCCGUAGUCCCUGUCUCUUAUAC